UUGCCCGGACGGUUGCGCGCGAAAGCGUGAGGAAAGUCCGAGCAGCACAGAGCAGGAUAACGGCUAACGGCCGCCGAGGGCGACCUCCGGGACAGUGCAACAGAAAUAAACCGCCUGCUUUUUGCAGGCAAGGGUGGAAAGGCGAGGUAAGAGCUCACCGAGGGGGUGGUAACAUCCCCUGCCAUGUAAACCCUAUCCGCUGCAACGCCGACUGGGGAGUUGUUUGCUCGACACAUAACCCCGAAGGGCGGCUUGAGCGCGGUGGUAACACUGCGUCGAGAUAGAUAACCGUCCACGACAGAACUCGGCUUACAGGGCAACUUGU
This 325-nucleotide RNase P RNA is filed under the name uncultured Eubacterium sp. Its description in RNAcentral is "Bacterial RNase P class A". It matches the Rfam family "Bacterial RNase P class A". Rfam says of the family: Ribonuclease P (RNase P) is a ubiquitous endoribonuclease, found in archaea, bacteria and eukarya as well as chloroplasts and mitochondria. Lineage: Bacteria; Bacillati; Bacillota; Clostridia; Eubacteriales; Eubacteriaceae. The record is from RNAcentral.